UACAGAGGGUGCAAGCGUUGUUCGAAAUUAUUGGGCGUAAAGCGCGUGUAGGCGGCCUUGCAAGUCGGGUGUGAAAGCCCUCAGCUCAACUGAGGAAGCGCGCCCGAAACUGCAGAGCUUGAGUACCGGAGAGGAUGGCGGAAUUCCCCAAGUAGAGGUGAAAUUCGUAGAUAUGGGGAGGAACACCGGUGGCGAAGGCGGCCAUCUGGACGGAUACUGACGCUGAGACGCGAAAGCGUGGGGAGCAAACAGG
Molecule: ribosomal RNA, 253 nt
Filed under: uncultured bacterium
Lineage: Bacteria
Description: partial 16S ribosomal RNA
Rfam family: Bacterial small subunit ribosomal RNA
Source: RNAcentral